This 484-nucleotide ribosomal RNA is filed under the name uncultured bacterium. RNAcentral describes it as "partial 16S ribosomal RNA". It matches the Rfam family "Bacterial small subunit ribosomal RNA", at positions 30 to 507 of the family's 1533-position model. The record is from RNAcentral.
AUUGAACGCUGGCGGCAGGCCUAACACAUGCAAGUCGAGCGGAUGAAGGGAGCUUGCUCCUGGAUUCAGCGGCGGACGGGCGAGUAAUGCCUAGGAAUCUGCCUGGUAGUGGGGGAUAACGUCCGGAAACGGGCGCUAAUACCGCAUACGUCCUGAGGGAGAAAGUGGGGGAUCUUCGGACCUCACGCUAUCAGAUGAGCCUAGGUCGGAUUAGCUAGUUGGUGGGGUAAAGGCCUACCAAGGCGACGAUCCGUAACUGGUCUGAGAGGAUGAUCAGUCACCCUGGAACUAUGACACGGUCCAGACUCCAACAGGAGGCAGCAGUGGGGAAUAUUGGACCAUGGACGAAAGCCUGAUCCAGGCAGGCCACGUGUGUGAAGAAGGUCUUCGGAUUGUAAAGCACUUUAAGUUGGGAGGAAGGGCAGUAAGUUAAUACCUUGCUGUUUUGACGUUACCAACAGAAUAAGCACCGGCUAACUACGUG